ACUCCUACGGGAGGCAGCAGUGGGGAAUUUUGCGCAAUGGGGGAAACCCUGACGCAGCAACGCCGCGUGAGUGAUGAAGGCCUUCGGGUCGUAAAGCUCUGUCAGAGGGGAAGAGGUGCAGUGGUGCUAAUAUCAUCAUUGCUUGACGGUACCCUCAAAGGAAGCACCGGCUAACUCCGUGCCAGCAGCCGCGGUAAUACGGAGGGUGCAAGCGUUGUUCGGAAUUAUUGGGCGUAGAGCGCGUGUAGGCGGUCUUUUAAGUCUGAUGUGAAAGCCCCGGGCUCAACCUGGGAAGUGCAUUGGAAACUGGGAGACUUGAAUACGGGAGAGGGUAGUGGAAUUCCUAGUGUAGGAGUGAAAUCCGUAGAUAUUAGGAGGAACACCGGUGGCGAAGGCGGCUACCUGGACCGAUAUUGACGCUGAGACGCGAAAGCGUGGGGAGCAAACAGGAUUAGAUACCCUGGUAGUC
Molecule: ribosomal RNA, 469 nt
Filed under: uncultured bacterium
Lineage: Bacteria
Description: bacterial SSU rRNA
Rfam family: Bacterial small subunit ribosomal RNA
Source: RNAcentral